GAUGAAGAACGUAGCGAAAUGCGAUAAGUAAUGUGAAUUGCAGAAUUCAGUGAAUCAUCGAAUCUUUGAACGCACAUUGCGCCCGUCAGUAUUCUGGCGGGCAUGCCUGUUCGAGCGUCAUUACGCCCCUCAAGUCCCCUGUGGACUUGGUGUUGGGGAUCGGCGAGGCUGGUUUUCCAGCACAGCCGUCCCUUAAAUUAAUUGGCGGUCUCGCCGUGGCCCUCCUCUGCGCAGUAGUAAAACACUCGCAACAGGAACCCGGCGCGGUCCACUGCCGUAAAACCCCCCAACUUUUUAUAGUUGACCUCGAAUCAGGUAGGACUACCCGCUGAACUUAAGCAUAUCAAUAAGCGGAGGA
This 358-nucleotide unclassified non-coding RNA is filed under the name soil metagenome. RNAcentral describes it as "partial contains 5.8S ribosomal RNA, internal transcribed spacer 2, and large subunit ribosomal RNA". The stretch from base 1 to 120 matches the Rfam family "5.8S ribosomal RNA", at positions 35 to 154 of the family's 154-position model. The record is from RNAcentral.